GAUGAACGCUGGCGGCGUGCCUAAUACAUGCAAGUCGAGCGAACGGACGAGAAGCUUGCUUCUCUGAUGUUAGCGGCGGACGGGUGAGUAACACGUGGAUAACCUACCUAUAAGACUGGGAUAACUUCGGGAAACCGGAGCUAAUACCGGAUAAUAUUUUGAACCGCAUGGUUCAAAAGUGAAAGACGGUCUUGCUGUCACUUAUAGAUGGAUCCGCGCUGCAUUAGCUAGUUGGUAAGGUAACGGCUUACCAAGGCAACGAUGCAUAGCCGACCUGAGAGGGUGAUCGGCCACACUGGAACUGAGACACGGUCCAGACUCCUACGGGAGGCAGCAGUAGGGAAUCUUCCGCAAUGGGCGAAAGCCUGACGGAGCAACGCCGCGUGAGUGAUGAAGGUCUUCGGAUCGUAAAACCCUGUUUUUAGGGAAGAACAUAUGUGUAAGUAACUGUGCACAUCUUGACGGUACCUAAUCAGAAAGCCACGGCCAACUACGUG
RNAcentral lists this ribosomal RNA (497 nucleotides) under uncultured bacterium. RNAcentral's name for it is "partial 16S ribosomal RNA". It matches the Rfam family "Bacterial small subunit ribosomal RNA", at positions 28 to 507 of the family's 1533-position model. The record is from RNAcentral.